RNAcentral lists this ribosomal RNA (492 nucleotides) under uncultured bacterium. Its description in RNAcentral is "bacterial SSU rRNA". It matches the Rfam family "Bacterial small subunit ribosomal RNA", at positions 29 to 513 of the family's 1533-position model. The record is from RNAcentral.
AUUGAACGCUGGCGGAAUGCUUUACACAUGCAAGUCGAACGGCAGCACGGGGGCAACCCUGGUGGCGAGUGGCGAACGGGUGAGUAAUACAUCGGAACGUGCCCAGUCGUGGGGGAUAACGUAGCGAAAGCUACGCUAAUACCGCAUACGAUCUACGGAUGAAAGCGGGGGAUCGCAAGACCUCGCGCGAUUGGAGCGGCCGAUGGCAGAUUAGGUAGUUGGUGGGGUAAAGGCUCACCAAGCCGACGAUCUGUAGCUGGUCUGAGAGGACGACCAGCCACACUGGGACUGAGACACGGCCCAGACUCCUACGGGAGGCAGCAGUGGGGAAUUUUGGACAAUGGGCGCAAGCCUGAUCCAGCCAUGCCGCGUGAAGGACGAAGGCGCUCAGCGUUGUAAACUGCUUUUGUCAGGGAAGAAAUCCUCUAGGUUAAUACCCUUGGGGGGAUGACGGUACCUGAAGAAUAAGCACCGGCUAACUACGUGCCAGCA